GGGAUAGCCCAGGGAAACCUGGAUUAAUACCGGAUGAAGACGGGACCGUGCGAUGGCGGGAUCCCGGGAAAGGCGCUACGGCGCCGCCGGGGGAUGAGUCUGCGUCCCAGUUAGCUAGACGGCGGGGUAACGGCCCACCGUGGCGACGAUGGGUAGCCGGCCUGAGAGGGUGGACGGCCACAUUGGAACUGAGACACGGUCCAGACUCCUACGGGAGGCAGCAGGCUAAGAAUCUUCCGCAAUGGGCGAAAGCCUGACGGAGCGAACGCCGCGUGAACGAAGAAGGCCGUGAGGUUGUAAAGUUCUUUUCGGGAGGGGGAACAACCGUGGCAGGGAAUGGCCGCGGGAUGACGUGAAUCCCGGAAUAAGCCCCGGCUAACUACGUGCCAGCAGCCGC
This 397-nucleotide ribosomal RNA is filed under the name uncultured bacterium. RNAcentral describes it as "bacterial SSU rRNA". It matches the Rfam family "Bacterial small subunit ribosomal RNA", at positions 140 to 518 of the family's 1533-position model. The record is from RNAcentral.